This is a long non-coding RNA of Passer domesticus (house sparrow), 1391 nucleotides long. RefSeq lists it as uncharacterized. The record is from RefSeq and is a predicted model, not a curated record. The transcript is spliced from 2 exons. Lineage: Eukaryota; Metazoa; Chordata; Aves; Passeriformes; Passeridae.
AGCCAUGCAGGCAAGAUGGGAAUGGAGAGCUCCUUGUACUCUUCCAGCAGUUGUUAGUAGAAGUUUUGUUAGAAGUUUUGUGCAGAUUGGAUCCCUCUGAUGGUGAUGAUGACACAACAUGCAGAGGGUGGCACUGGCACCAUGGCUUGAUUUUCUUCCUUGAAGAUGUGAAAUUGCAAGGGGAGAAAAAUGACAGCAAAAGUGUGCUUUGUGUGUGAUACAAGCAUGAUCAACAAAACGUGCUGAGACACUUCUGGUUUUGUUGGUUCUAAUAAUACUGAUAAAAUUUCUGCUGGUGGCUGUUCAUGCUGAACAAAACCCAGGAUGUGGCCAGAAAAAGAGAUGACAUUGAUGAUUACAGUAGAAAUAGACUUCACACUUUUUGUAUGAACUCCAAUCUGGUUUAGCUACAAAACCUUUUUUCAAGUGUUGUCUGCUGCUUCAAGGGUGAUGGGGAUCAAAUACUCUGCUCUGCUAGCACUGCCCUGCUUCACAAGGGAAGUUCAGCACCUGAAAGGAAGGCAGCUUGGAAAUGCAGCAGUACCUAGAAAUGAGGUCAUGGAGAUCUUUUCUUUGGGGAUCCAGAAAGCUUUUAGACACAGAACUGCUUCUGGACCAUCACCUGUAAGAACUCUUGGGAGGGAAACUAAAUUGGUGAGCAGUUGUGUAGGUGAGAGAGCAGGAUGAAGUGAUGGGGAGAGGUGGUGGCUGCUACAGUCUAGUUACAGAGAUAAGGGACUUGGAAGUUGGACUCCAGGUCCUAGAAAAGGUGGUCAGAAAGUGGAGACGGUAGGUCUGAAUAGUUCCAGGGAUCCAAGUUUCUUAACUUCGCUGCUUUAUUCCCAGGGAGAAAUGCAACUGAAAACCAAAGAAAUCCCAGAGAAGCCAGUUGCAGAGCUAGGCUUGACCACCAGCCAGCCAGGGAGGGGAAUCAAGGCAGGUUCACAGAGGCAGAAGAUUGUCACUACUGCCUUUCUUUUGAGACUCUUUUGAGAGUCUCCCAGCCUAAUUAUUUUCCCACUGUGGUAAUGUCCCAUGGGAGUUCUCAGCUCUGGGAGGACUGAUGCCACCCUUCAGAGUGAAGAUGCCAAUCAAUGCUGAGAGAUGAUAAUUAUAGUUAUGAUUAGCUUUGAAUUUCUCAUUGAAUGCCUGGAGACAUAUUGCUAAUGAAAAGCUAAAUCAGUGGUUUUUCCCCCUAAGGUAGUAGAUAUUUUUCUUCCUGAAAUUUGUAAGCAUUUAAGUGUGUAGAAAAUAGUGCUUACAAAUUAAUCCCUAACACCCUUUUUUGCCUCCAUAGAUUCUGGCAUGUCCAUCCUUACACCCAUUCAUAGUCUCCAAAAAAUACUCAGAAAUGUAUUCAAUUAAAGAACACAGUUUAAAAAAAAAAAAAA